RNAcentral lists this long non-coding RNA (272 nucleotides) under Mytilus galloprovincialis (Mediterranean mussel). Lineage: Eukaryota; Metazoa; Mollusca; Bivalvia; Mytilida; Mytilidae. The record is from RNAcentral.
AAAUAACAACAAGAAUAUAAGAAUAUUUUGAUACUAAAAGGGGUUUGAAAGUACAGUAUAGGUUGCACUUUGUAAAUCACGUGUGAUUUGCAAGUCACGCCUCUUUUGGGGAGAAAUUGAAUGUGCAUAAAAUACUGCUACUGUUUACAUAGUUGUUGCCAUGGAUGCAAAGUAAUUUUUUUUUAAUUAAGACUUGAUUGGAGAAUUAAAUGGAUAUAAAUAAAAAUGUCUAUUUAUUUAACUUAUUUUUCAGGAGGACUGGAAGACAUUUG